Molecule: long non-coding RNA, 1161 nt
Organism: Gossypium raimondii (Peruvian cotton)
Lineage: Eukaryota; Viridiplantae; Streptophyta; Magnoliopsida; Malvales; Malvaceae
Exons: 3
Source: RefSeq, a predicted model, not a curated record
UUUCAUACUAAUCUAAAAUCAAACAAAAUCAUUACAAUUAUUAAAUUAAUUGCUUGUUAGUGAUAAAAAAUAAUUGGGUUUUAUUUGGCAUAACAUAUAAAAUUAAUUUAAGAAAUUUUCUUUGCUUUUAUUUUAGUAUGAAAGACUCGAAAUCAUAUAAUUAAAAAAAUUGGGUUUCAUAUACAAUUAUCAAAAUGAUUUAUUUGUGUAACAGCCCAAUUUUUAGUAGUGUCGAAUAGUGAUUGGAGAUCAUUAAAUCCGAUGAAAAGUUAGAAAAAUUUAUUAAUUAAUAAUUAUAAGUUAAGCGUGAUUUUAGAAAUAUUUUUGAAUUAGUGAAUUAUCGGGUCUCCGUCUUGGUAAAACGGACUCAUAAAAUAAUUAUUAAAAAUAUUUAUAGAAUUAGUUAUAUCACCAAUUGGAUUUUAGUUAAGUGAAUUUAGUUAAAUUAAAGUUAAUUGAGUAUUAGGACUAAAUUGAAUUAAGUGUGAAAGUUAAUUAUAAAAUAGAAAAAGGUGAAAGGACUAAACUAAUAAUUAAACCACAAAAAGUGACAAGUGUGUGGUAAUUAUAAAUACAUGUGUAAUAAAUAUAUGUAUACAUUUGUAAUUAAUAUAUGUCCAUACUUAUUAAUUAAGUAAAAGAUAUUUAUUUAUUAUAUUAUUAAUUAAAUAAAAGAAAUAAAAGAUAGAAAAAGAGAAUAGAAACAGAAUAGCAAAACGAAAACAGGGGAGAAAGGAAAGAAGAAGAAGAAGAAGGGAAGGAAAGGAAGAAAAUUUGGGAUUUCAAGGUUCAAGGUUUGAUUGCUAGCGUCGUAUUGGAAUUCUCGACUAAAAAGGGGAAAAAUAUAGUCGACAUCGAAUAGCUCGGAAUUCUUGAAAUACAAUUUGGGGCUAAAAAGAAGAAAAAGGAAACAAUUGGGCUAGAUUGAAGAAAGAAGCAAAGAAGGAGGACCAAAACAGAAUUUUUCCAGGAUUAAGUAGCUGAAAUUUUUGUUCACUUAUUAGGGAGAUUAUGUUGGGAUUUUUUGUAUAUCAUGGAAUAUUUUCCUUAAUUUUCUAUGACUAGUUGGCUCCUAAUUUAGUAAAGCCACUAGUAUAAAUAGAGGCUAUAUUGUUUAUCAAUUCAUCAAUUCAUAAAUCAAGCUUUCAAUUAAGUCUUUCA